CAGUAGCCGCGGGAAUACAGAGGGUGCGAGCGUUAAUCGGAUUUACUGGGCGUAAAGCGUGCGUAGGCGGCUUCUUAAGUCGGAUGUGAAAUCCCUGAGCUUAACUUAGGAAUUGCAUUCGAUACUGGGAAGCUAGAGUAUGGGAGAGGAUGGUAGAAUUCCAGGUGUAGCGGUGAAAUGCGUAGAGAUCUGGAGGAAUACCGAUGGCGAAGGCAGCCAUCUGGCCUAAUACUGACGCUGAGGAGCGAAAGUGUGGGGAGCGAACAGGAUUAGAUACCCGUGUAGUCCCUGUCUAUUAUAC
RNAcentral lists this ribosomal RNA (301 nucleotides) under uncultured bacterium. RNAcentral's name for it is "partial 16S ribosomal RNA". It matches the Rfam family "Bacterial small subunit ribosomal RNA", at positions 509 to 812 of the family's 1533-position model. The record is from RNAcentral.